CCCGCCUUCUAAACUGUUCCAGAACCCCAUCUGUCACAUCACUCCCGAACAAUCCAAUGAAAAUCUUACAGCAGGCCCCAUUCUAGACUGCUCCAGAACCCCCAACAUCACCCGAUGCUGCACUCCAGAAUCAUGUAUUAUUUCCAUGUCUGGCGUUAGGAGAAUAAGACAAACGUGGAUCCCUGAUGUAGACAUAUUAAGUGGAAGGCAUUAAGAGUGCUUCAGAAUCAGUGACCUGUGAAUGGCGCUGUUUACCUGCAAGCCUCCACUGCAUACCUGCGGGCCAGUCGUGAGAAAUCCCCUAGUUACCACCUGAGCUGGAACGAACAAGGAUUGGGCCCAGACUAGGAAGGAGCCUAGUCUGUGAAAGAAGCUUAUUGGAACAGCUCUGAGGGUGAGAUUUACCUGUAUUCAGUUUCUUAAUGUCUUAGGCUUGCAUGUUUUGUUUUAUUUUGCUUGGUAACUUACUUUGUUCUGUUAUUCCUUGAAACCACUUAGAUCCUACCUUUUUACACUUAA
Long non-coding RNA from Chelonia mydas (Green sea turtle), 519 nucleotides. RefSeq lists it as uncharacterized. NCBI's taxonomy places the organism in Eukaryota, Metazoa, Chordata, Testudines, Cheloniidae. The transcript has 2 exons. The record is from RefSeq and is a predicted model, not a curated record.